RNAcentral lists this transfer RNA (73 nucleotides) under Akkermansiaceae bacterium. Its description in RNAcentral is "tRNA-Phe". It matches the Rfam family "tRNA". Rfam says of the family: Transfer RNA (tRNA) molecules are approximately 80 nucleotides in length. Their secondary structure includes four short double-helical elements and three loops (D, anti-codon, and T loops). Lineage: Bacteria; Pseudomonadati; Verrucomicrobiota; Verrucomicrobiia; Verrucomicrobiales; Akkermansiaceae. The record is from RNAcentral.
GGCUCGUUAGCUCAGUUGGUAGAGCAGAGGAUUGAAAAUCCUUGUGUCCCUGGUUCGAUUCCGGGACGAGCCA